Molecule: long non-coding RNA, 3164 nt
Filed under: Callithrix jacchus (white-tufted-ear marmoset)
Lineage: Eukaryota; Metazoa; Chordata; Mammalia; Primates; Cebidae
Description: lncRNA (ENSCJAG00000080667.1)
Source: RNAcentral
AUGUGGGGGUUACAAUUUGAGAUGAGAUUUGGACCAUCCCAGACGAUCUGUAAGAUUCCAUCUGGGAAAUCACUUGGAGAUCUUGGAAGGAAAAGAAGGAAGACUGUUGGUUGGAAUAAAAGCAAGGUUAAAUGGAUUCCGGAAAGCGGGGCUCUCAAACUUGUAGACAACAAUCUGCAGAAGAUGACUUCAAAAAACCAACUAGAAGCAACAUGUAGAGAAGUAAGAUGUGAUGUGAGGGGGCUCCUCUAGUCCACAGCAGUAAAAUCUUGAGACAGCUCUCCUAGUAAGAUGAGGGGAUCCCUCUGUAGAGAACACUUCUUCAGGAUAUGUGAGGAAGACCAGAAGGAACAAACAGAGACUCCUGGAAACAAAGAAGGCGUACAGAGCACUAUACCUACUGAGGUUAUUGUAAGAAUCAGAGGAACGUUGGCCUGAGGAGGAGAGCCUUGCAUUGUUGGGCUAUUUGCAUGAUUUCCUAAAAUAUCUGGCAAAUAAUUCUGUAUCUCUGUUUACUGCCAGUAAUCACAAAGCAGCUUUUGCUGAGUACCACUGCAAAGCCCUGUGAGGGUCUACAGACCACUCAUUCUUAUCUGUCUGGUAUCUGGAAACAUUUUUUUUUGUUCUUAGCCUUUUUCUUGUAAGAUUGAUGUUCUUUAAAAUUGUUGAUGUAUAACAGGGCUAAUUGUUAAUGUGCAACAGGGCACAGUUUGUUUUCUGUGCUGUUUGAAACAGAAAAUGAAAGAAGUGUAAGCUCCUUUUCUCAUUUGAAAGUUGCUAUGCAGCGUAUGCAGUAAUUAGAACAAAGAAGAGAACAUUCAGUAUAACAUUUUAUUGCCUAGUUGACAACAGUGCUUGGAAACUGGUGGUUUUAUCUCUUCGAUACUACACAAUUUUCGAAUGUGCGUUAAUGCUAUGUGACAAAAUGCCCUGAUUCCUAGUGCCAAAGGUUCAACUUAAUGCGUAUACCCCCAAACCCAUGAUUUCUGCUCAUUUUUUAAAAAAUGUUCUUGAGUAAACCAGCCCAUCCCCUGCAAGUCCACCUGUGUUGGUCCUUAGGCAUUCUAUCUUUGCUCUAAUUGUUGAAGGAUGGUGGUUUUUGUAUUUGAGACUAAUGUACAUUCUAACAUGAUAAAGGCAAUUCAUUAUUGUAUAGCCAUGGUUUUCUGAAAAAGUUAAUAUUUCAGAGAUUGUAUUUCAGAUCUUAAAUAAAAUUUGUUUCUAAAUUUCAAAGCUAAAAGAAAACACAAUCAAGUCAGCAAAUUAAGUCAGUUUGGUCAUGUCUUAACGUUUUACACACACACAUGACUGGUAGUACACACACACACACACACACACACACACACAUACAUACUUCAGCACAUAAUCCCCGCAAUAUGGCAAUGGUCUAUGCAGAAACACAAGAUGAGGUUAUUUAAAAAUGCUCACCUAUUUAGCAUGAAUCUUUGCAAUAUUUCACUCUUCUUCUUCCUUUGGUGACUUUAUAUUACAGGUUCAUAGGCUUCUAAGUAUACUAUCUUUCACCAUUGUUUGAAAGACUUAGCCUCGUUCCAAAUUUAAGAAAUUAUGAAAUUCAUAAGAAGUUAUGAACUUCAUAAAGUCUCACAGAAAAAAAUAAGUAUUAUCUGCAUUACAUUUUAUAAUUAAAUUUGAAUUUGUUCCAUUUAUAGUUAUAUUUGAAUUCAGCAUUCUCAUGAGGAAACUUAGGUAGAUAGCCUAGUUUUAAGAAAUUCAGAGUAACAUAAUGAAUAGAAUUGCUAAGACUGAAACCCAAAUCUGGAAUUUUUUUUUGUAUAUAUAUAUAUAUAUAUAUAUAUAUAUAUAUACACACACACACACGCAUAUGCAUAUAUAUAUAUGUAUAUAUAUAUAUUUUAAAAUCUGUGUGCCUACAAUCUGGGAACAUUUAAAAGAUCAUUUUUUAGAGAAUUUACACUAAGCUGUAUUUUAAUUCUUGUCUGUUUAUAGUAAAUAUACACAAAAUAUCAAAAUAAAUCUCUAGGACACAUCUGUUUCCUGUUCAUUGUGCACAUCAUGUUAUAAGCUUUUGGAAUGAAAAGUGACAUUUGAAAACCUCAAGAAAUGACAAUAGCAGCAGCGAUGAUGUUUUUCAGCUCUCACUCUAAUCAGUGGGAACUGAUUAUUCAUUUCAAAAGCUUUUAUAAAAUAAAGCAAACCUUGAAUAUGUUCAGUUAGGAAGCAAACCUUGAAAUUAUAUGGUUACCAGUAAUAAAUCAGAGUUUCAACAAAUAACUCAGUAAUUUUUUAAAAAUGCUAAACAUUUAUUAAAUACUUACCCAGGUUGUUUUUGUUAAUUUUAAGAUGCUGCCAAAAGUUUACACCCAUGUGUGUGCAACAUACAUACGUACAGUAUUUUUUCUUUUAGGUAACAUAGUUGGUUAAAGCACCUGAACAUAUUCCUAAAUAGGUGCACAUUUGUGGCUCAAGCCUGUAAUCCCAGCACUUUGGGAGGCUGAGGCGGGUGGAUCACGAGGUCAACAGAUCGAGACCAUCCUGGUCAACAUGGUGAAACCCCGUCUCUACUAAAAAUUACAAAAAAUUAGCUGGGCACGGUGGCGCGUGCCUGUAAUCCCAGCUACUCAGGAGGCUGAGGCAGGAGAAUUGCCUGAACCCAGCGGGCGGAGGUUGCGGUGAGCUGAGAUCACACCAUUGCACUCCAGCCUGGGUAACAAGAGCGAAACUCCGUCUCAAAAAAAAAAAAAAAUAGGCGCACAUUUUAAAAUAAUCUUACAUUAUGAGUAGGUUAACAACUUUUGAUUUAGAAUAAAGUUUGUUGAAGUUUGCCUUUUGAUUUCAACUAGCUAAAUUAAGAUAGCUUAAAUUAAGAAACUAGGAAAUCUGAAUUAAUUUAGAUUUUUUUUAACACCUUAAAAGAUCUAAUUUAAGGACUUGAAAAUUAGCAUUCUUUAGAUGAGAAAACAUGCCUAACGUUACCUUAUUUGAAAUGAAAUCUAUUAAUAUUUAAACACAUAUCAGACAUUAGGGACUGAAAAAAAGUAUACUGAGGCAAAGAAGAAAUUAUCUCUCUCUCCUUUCCUCUCUCUUCCUUCCCUUUCUCAUCUCCUUCAGGGGAAACUUUCUGCAGCUUUUGACCCUUUUUUGUAGAAAUCAAAGGUCCCUCAUUAGGAAUGAGGUCUCUCUGG